GAUUAGGACUGUUAGUGGUUACCUUUUGGAAAUCCCACUAAGAAUUUGUGCGUUUCUUCAUCUGCUUACUGAUUGAUGUUGAGGGCACGAAAUAAUCUGCUUUUCUCAAGAUUUAGCAAUAUCUUGGAACAAUUGUCAGUGGAUAUAUGAGACUUUUGACAGAUAAAUUCUCUUAAUAUGGAAUUUACCUUAAUCUGUUUGAAGUACAUGUGAUUGCCAACAUUAUUUGGUGUAGAUGUAAUACGUAUGAUGAUUUUCGUUCCAAUGGAGGAUUAUGGCCUACAUUUAUACUGAUCAAACAAUAAUAUUGAUUUACAUCAGCUCUGCUUGGAAAUUGAAUGCUACAGAAAGUCGUGCAGUUCAAGCGUUUAUACAUCUUCGGGAGCAUCAUCUUCAAGCAAUAGCGGAUCCAAAACAGAAAGGACUUCUUCAUAUCCAACUUUCAGCAGCAAACAGAACCCUCAAUGCAAAAAGCAGACUCAAGUUCCUAGCAGUACUAUACCUCAUGAAUUCGAGCCGCAAAACUUAAAGGUUUCCAGUUCAAUCAAGCAGCACCCAAAACCCCAAGGAAGCAGCAGGGACAAGAAAACGGGCCGGAAAGGGAAGAAGAAGAACUUGGCUCCUAGUUGGCCACACCUGAAAAUUUUGGGGUGCUAAUUCUCGAUAGAACCAAAUGCAGGCUUGACGGAGGAAAUAAGACUCAUGAAUAAAGGAAACAUUCAAAAGCAUUUUGUCUUUUUAUCUUGAUAUAGUAUUUUGUCAAUCAGUUUUAGUACUAUGUAAGAUUUUAAUGUUUUUUACUUAGGAAUUAGGUUAUUCCCUGUUGUUUGGAAUCCUUUGAUAUUUAUGUUUCUUGUUCACUUAAAAUUUAGGUCUAGGUUUAUAAUAUUUAUAACCCAUUGUAACUCUCUACUCACUUUAUAGUUAAAUUAAUGAGUUGACGGGUUUUUCACCUCUCAACUCCUCGCUCAAGAUAACAAAA
Molecule: non-coding RNA, 982 nt
Organism: Coffea arabica (coffee)
Lineage: Eukaryota; Viridiplantae; Streptophyta; Magnoliopsida; Gentianales; Rubiaceae
Source: RefSeq, a predicted model, not a curated record